AAGUUAUGUGACAGCAGGUUAGCACUCCUGUUGAUAAGGAUAGAAAGGGUCUUAGCAGUCUUACAACACACAAAUGGUUAAAGCACUGCUGCCUACUUAGGGGCAUCCAAACAUGUUUUUUA
Molecule: small nuclear RNA, 122 nt
Organism: Rhincodon typus (whale shark)
Lineage: Eukaryota; Metazoa; Chordata; Chondrichthyes; Orectolobiformes; Rhincodontidae
Source: RefSeq, a predicted model, not a curated record